AUGGAGCAGAGUGCUCACCUUCUGGCCCCAACACUGGCAAGGCCCAAGCUCACCACCAAGGCCGACGAGCUCCCCGAAGCUGUCGUCGCCCAGGAUGCGGGUGCCGCCAUGGCCGGCUUCGUGGGCCUCCUCCGCCAGCUCGGGGACCUCGCACAGCUCGCCGCGGAGGUGUUCCAAGGCCUGCACGACCAGGCCACGGCGGUGUCCGCUCGGGCGGGCGGCCUCGCGCUGGGGGCGCGGCGCCUGGAGGCGGAGCUGCCGCUCUUAGAGGAGCGCCUCCGUCGUCGUCGGAAUAGACGGCCCUGCUUCGUGCAGCACAACGUCGCCAUUGCUUCAGAAGUUCCGUGUCGCGUCGCAGGCCAUGGUGUCGAUCGGCCGGUGAUUUUGGUGGGAGGAACAAGGCCGUGCUCCAUCGAAGAGCACAUCCAGCGCUGCCGCAGGCCUCCGCAGCUCUCCAUUCUGGACAAGUAUGAUGCUGGUGGCGAGGGAGCGUGCUUGAAGAGAUACACCGACCCCUCCUUCUUCAGAGCCCACUCUGCACAGCAUGAAUCAGACCUUCAGAGUUCAGACAACCAUUCCAAACCUCCUGCCAAGGAAGCCCACCAUAACAAAUACUCCAAAUUUAAAACAGGCGCGUUGUCCGAUAUGCUCCAACAACUUAAAUAUCGUCACAUGAUCAGAAGAAAGAGGCGUCAAAAGCACAACUUUCAGAAUCAGGGUUCGUCACAAGAUGAAGCAUCUGAAGCACGCGUUUUGUCUUCAGCUGAUUCGCCUGAAACAUCAAACUCCGAAGCGCCAUGCCCUGCAGUACCAGCGAACAAGGAGAGGAGCAGUGACCUCGCUGAGAGGACCAGUUCGUUCGGGGCAUGGCUCUCUCCAAGUGCAGCCUGCUGUACUGAUGCGUGUGAAAACACACCAGACAAUACUGAUGGAUCUGCCAGCCAUGGCGCAAACAAGGCCGACGAGAAUGCCAACAAUGCGGACAAAUUCUCGUAG
RNAcentral lists this ribosomal RNA (996 nucleotides) under Triticum aestivum (bread wheat). Its description in RNAcentral is "partial small subunit ribosomal RNA". The record is from RNAcentral. Lineage: Eukaryota; Viridiplantae; Streptophyta; Magnoliopsida; Poales; Poaceae.